UUCAGAUAAUCGACGCCAGGGUGGCAGAGAAAGAUUGGCCAGUACCAAUGACAAGGGAAGUAUGGCUAUGGAAUCUGCCAAGGAGACUCGCUACUGUGCAGUGUGCAAUGACUAUGCUUCAGGCUACCAUUAUGGAGUCUGGUCCUGUGAGGGCUGCAAGGCCUUCUUCAAGAGAAGUAUUCAAGUUUUGUGGACACAGCUGAAGCUUUCAGAGGUCUUGAAAAACCAUGGCAACAAAUGCC
Molecule: long non-coding RNA, 242 nt
Filed under: Homo sapiens (human)
Lineage: Eukaryota; Metazoa; Chordata; Mammalia; Primates; Hominidae
Description: HSALNT0115266
Source: RNAcentral